This is a small nucleolar RNA of Cavia aperea (Brazilian guinea pig), 126 nucleotides long. The record is from Ensembl. NCBI's taxonomy places the organism in Eukaryota, Metazoa, Chordata, Mammalia, Rodentia, Caviidae.
CUGGUCCUGAACCAAGGCCAGCAGCUUCCUGACACUGUUGGUUUCAAGCAGGAGCCUAAAGACAUGUCUGUUGGCCAUUUCAGAACUUGGACCGUGAAAUGGUCAGUUCAUUAGAAAGAAACAGCU